RNAcentral lists this long non-coding RNA (550 nucleotides) under Mytilus galloprovincialis (Mediterranean mussel). Lineage: Eukaryota; Metazoa; Mollusca; Bivalvia; Mytilida; Mytilidae. The record is from RNAcentral.
CUUCCUAAAUAUUUAAGUACAGACAAAUUUUCAUUAGUAAAUAACCAAACAAAUUUUGGCUCAUUUGAAAGAUGUAUAAAAUUAGGACAAAUACAGUUUAUCUCCUUAAAAAAUAUCUCCCUAUCAUUUUUGUAUGCUGGACAACUAGUUAUAAAAUGUUGUUCAUCUUCAACCAGAUUUAGAGUACAUUUCUUACAAAGCCUUUGAUUUCUUUCUAUAUAUAAUGUUAUACCUGUCUCUUUCUAUUUUGAGAUCAUGUGCACUGAUUCUAAUUUUACAUAUGGCACUUCUCAAUUGAAAAUUGUUUAAAGAUAGAUACAUUUCUUUAGAAAAACAAGUUAUGAGUUUGAAAUAAGUAUCUAAUUCACUACUCUGUGCAUCUGUUCUUUUUGUGUUCCAAAAUUUUACAAAACUAUUACAAAGUUUUUGCUUAACUGACUUGAUAAAAAAAGUUGAGCUUCACCUCCAAAUUAUGAAUAUUCAGCUUUUUAAAAAUGAAAUGUAUGGAUGAAUACUAGCAUUCAAUAUUAUUAUUAAACAUGUUUUUGUU